Molecule: ribosomal RNA, 440 nt
Filed under: uncultured bacterium
Lineage: Bacteria
Description: partial 16S ribosomal RNA
Rfam family: Bacterial small subunit ribosomal RNA
Source: RNAcentral
CCUACGGGUGGCAGCAGUAGGGAAUAUUGCUCAAUGGGGGAAACCCUGAAGCAGCAACGCCGCGUGGAGGAUGAAGGUUUUAGGAUUGUUAACUCCUUUUUUUAGAGAAGAUUAUGACGGUAUCUAACGAAUAAGCACCGGCUACCUCCGUUCCAGCAGCCGCGGUAAUACGGAGGGUGCCAGCGUUACUCGGAAUCACUGGGCGUAAAGAGUGCGUAGGCGGGGUAAUAAGUCAGAUGUGAAAUCCUGUAGCUUAACUACAGAACUGCAUUUGAAACUGGUACUCUGGAGUGUGGGAGAGGUAGGUGGAAUUCGUGGUGUAGGGGUAAAAUGCGUAGAGAUCAAGAGGAACACUGAUUGCGAAGGCGACUUGCUGGAACAUUACUGACGCUGAUGCACGAAAGCGUGGGGAGCAAACAGGAUUAGAUACCCUGGUAGUC